RNAcentral lists this ribosomal RNA (254 nucleotides) under uncultured bacterium. RNAcentral's name for it is "partial 16S ribosomal RNA". It matches the Rfam family "Bacterial small subunit ribosomal RNA", at positions 524 to 776 of the family's 1533-position model. The record is from RNAcentral.
CACGUAGGCACCAAGCGUUAUCCGGAUUUAUUGGGCGUAAAGAGCUCGUAGGCGGUUCGGUAAGUCGGGUGUGAAAACUCUGGGCUCAACCCAGAGAGGCCACCCGAUACUGCUGUGACUAGAGUGCGGUAGGGGAGCGGGGAAUUCCUGGUGUAGCGGUGAAAUGCGCAGAUAUCAGGAGGAACACCGGUGGCGAAGGCGGGUCUCUGGGCCGUAACUGACGCUGAGGAGCGAAAGCAUGGGGAGCGAACAGG